UACAGAGGGUGCGAGCGUUGUCCGGAAUCGUUGGGCGUAAAGCGCGUGUAGGCGGCUUUGCAAGUCGGAUGUGAAAGCCCACGGCUCAACCGUGGAAGUGCAUCCGAAACUGCAUGGCUUGAGUCUCGGAGAGGAAGGUGGAAUGCUUGGUGUAGAGGUGAAAUUCGUAGAUAUCAAGCAGAACACCUGCGGCGAAGGCGGCCUUCUGGACGAUGACUGACGCUGAGACGCGAAAGCGUGGGGAGCAAACAGG
This 253-nucleotide ribosomal RNA is filed under the name uncultured bacterium. RNAcentral's name for it is "partial 16S ribosomal RNA". It matches the Rfam family "Bacterial small subunit ribosomal RNA", at positions 524 to 776 of the family's 1533-position model. The record is from RNAcentral.